This 207-nucleotide ribosomal RNA is filed under the name uncultured bacterium. RNAcentral's name for it is "partial 16S ribosomal RNA". It matches the Rfam family "Bacterial small subunit ribosomal RNA", at positions 568 to 774 of the family's 1533-position model. The record is from RNAcentral.
CGCGUAGGCGGCUUGGUCAGUCGGAUGUGAAAGCCCCGGGCUUAACCUGGGAAUUGCAUUCGAUACUGCCAGACUAGAAUGUAGUAGAGGGAAGUGGAAUUCCGGGUGUAGCGGUGAAAUGCGUAGAUAUCCGGAGGAACAUCAGUGGCGAAGGCGACUUCCUGGACUAACACUGACGCUGAGGUGCGAAAGCGUGGGGAGCAAACA